Molecule: ribosomal RNA, 425 nt
Filed under: uncultured bacterium
Lineage: Bacteria
Description: bacterial SSU rRNA
Rfam family: Bacterial small subunit ribosomal RNA
Source: RNAcentral
GUGGGGAAUCUUGCGCAAUGGGCGAAAGCCUGACGCAGCCAUGCCGCGUGAAUGAUGAAGGUCUUAGGAUUGUAAAAUUCUUUCACCGGGGACGAUAAUGACGGUACCCGGAGAAGAAGCCCCGGCUAACUUCGUGCCAGCAGCCGCGGUAAUACGAAGGGGGCUAGCGUUGCUCGGAAUUACUGGGCGUAAAGGGCGCGUAGGCGGACAGUUUAGUCAGAGGUGAAAGCCCAGGGCUCAACCUUGGAAUUGCCUUUGAUACUGGCUAUCUUGAGUAUGGAAGAGGUAUGUGGAACUCCGAGUGUAGAGGUGAAAUUCGUAGAUAUUCGGAAGAACACCAGUGGCGAAGGCGACAUACUGGUCCAUUACUGACGCUGAGGCUCGAAAGCGUGGGGAGCAAACAGGAUUAGAAACCCGUGUAGUCC